GUACAAUCUUGUUGAUGAUGGCCAUGAUUUGAGAAUUCCAAUGCAUAACGAGGAAGCAUUCCAACAUGGGAUCAACUUCGAAGCAAAAACCCCCAUGAAGUGCUCAUUUUGGGCAGAAGUCUCUGGGAACGAGUUUAACUGGCUUGCUACUUUACCUUCACAACCAAGAGGACAGUCAUCGAGGAACAUUUUAGGUAACCCAGCUAGCACAGAACGUUCCCCAAAGGGUUUCAUUUGUAAAAAAUAACUUUCACAGAACGUUCUGGGAACAUUGUGGGAAAGUAAUUUUUCUAAGAACCAAAGGAUACCCUUUAGGGAGCGUUAGAAACACAUUGUUCUGAAAACAUUCAAAUAACCUCAUAAAAUAAUGUAAUUUUUUGGUGAAUUACAACUUUUACAUAACAUUCCCCUGUGGUUCCCGUUUGGUUGUUGGGAGAAAAAUAGUUCUGGGAACGUUCUGGAAACAUUGCAUAUCAAAGGCCGUAUUGGAUCAAACUGCUGAAAGAGAAGAUAAAGUGUGUGUGGAGCUUGCUUGGACAGUUUCCCCACCUGCACCAUCUCCAUUUUGUCCAGAAGUCUACUCGUAAAAGGUGACUUUAGGUUACUUUAUUACUACAAUGAACACUCACCGGACGGUUUAUUAGAUGGAGCAAUUGUGGGACACCACCACUUGUGAACACCUACUCAACCUCUAAGGUAAAUGGCUUAUAGUAACUUGAUAGCAUUGAAGCAUUCACAUUGAAACAAUGGACCUUAUUUUGUUGCUAAUCCCAAAUGGAGCCUUAUACUCUAUGCACAUGUGUUGAUCUGAGAUGAUUUGAUGGUUUUAAACAAUAUGAUUAAACUUCCACCUAGCCUAUCAGAGGACUAAUUGGAAUAAUGACAAAUUUGCUCACAUAAGUCAAAUCCUCUCAGAUCUCCUCAAGUGCAUAAGGAGUAGGGUCUAAGGCAGGGUUAUUCAACUCUUACCCUACGAGGGUUGGAGCCUGCUGGUUUUCUGCUCUACCUGAUAAUUAAUUGUACACACCUUAUUUCCCAGGUCUAAAUCAGUCAGUCCCUGAUUAGAGGAAAACAUUUUUUUAUUUUUAUUUAGUGGAACUUCCUUCAAGGUUCAGAGUUGAGUUUGAGGGGUCUAGGGGUUGAUUUAGGAUUGGGCCAUACUUUUGUAAUCAGAACUUUCAAUUGAAGUGUGACAUACAUUAGAUGUCUGUUAUGGUUAACAUGUGAUUCAGUUUGUCUCACAGAAGUUUCUCUAAGCUCAACUGGAAGUGUCACAGAGUAGAGGUACAGUAAUUGGCUUGAUACUAUUUAAAAACAUUGAAGCAUUCACAUUGAAACAGUGGACCUUAUUUUGUAUUGUCACAUUUUAGAGCCUGAACUUUCAAAUGAACUCAGAUGUCUGUUAAUGUUAACAUGUGAUUAAUUUAGUCUCAGACAUCACUCUACCCAACCGUAAACAAUGGACCUCACAAGACAGCAGAUGUAUGGCUUACAGUAACUUAAUAUAUUUAAAAACAUUGAAUCAUUCACAUCAACACAAUAGACCUUAUUUUGUGGCGUCAACAAUGAAGUGUGACAUACAGUACAUUAGGCUUCCGUUAACAGACAUCUCUCCACCCAACCGUACUGCAACAGUCCCAGUCUCUCCACUCGUCCCGCAGUCUCCCCAACCAGAAGAGGGGGACCUGCCCUCUGUGAGAAAUGAAGCAUCUAUAAUGAAGCAUUUGAAGGAGUGAAAUAUGUGGGGGUUGUUACAACCACCUGGAUUGUUACAGAUUCAGGUGUGUAUUGCUAAUGAACCAAAAAAGGUAACCCCAAAAACGUUAAACUGUGAACGACCCGAUAAGACAUGGAAAAUGCAACGGCCAGAUUUCUGGAGACCACAGCUGUCUCUCCACUGUCCAAUGAUGGUAAAAAGCUCAACUUACAACUAUUUCAAAACACAUAUUUGAUUUUCACUUUUGUUUAGAUAUAUGUUGUACCCAGGGCCUAAAAUGAACACCCACCAAAUACGGGUAGAUUUUGGCAUUGGCGGGUAAUGAUUUCUAUUUCAUCAGUCACGUUGCCGGGUGGUCAGGGCUCCACAUUGCAAACAUUUCACUCUCAUUUGUGAAUAAAAAGUCAAGUAUGAUCACAUUAAUAGCAAAAUAAAUACUGCAGUAGCUGUUUUCAAUGUAUUUCUGCCUUGAGCUGCAACACUGCAUGGCUGGGGGCUGUGUGCACUUGAAGAGCUGAGUGACAGGUACAUUUCUAGAAGCGCUGCACACAGGCAUAAAAAUGGGUCUAAUUUACUUGAAAUGAAGUGAGACUUUGUCCUUGUGUUUCUUGGCUAUUGACAUACUUUUGUUCACAAGCUAGGAUGUUUUUCAAUGUUUGAGUUUAAGCUGCUAGGGUAGAGAAGCAACGGGAUACUAGUCAGACUCAAUCUCACAAGCACAAACAUGACUCCAGUCGUGUUACCAGGGUAACCUCCCGACCUUAAAAGGCCAGAUGAACAUUUGUGUCUCAUCUGUGAUAUUUUGGUUAACAUGAAAUCAAAUAAUAUUCCACAUCACUUCUUACUAGUAAUAUAUUUGUUUUUUAGAAACAUUACAAAGCAUGCUCAUCUGUUUUUUUGUGUUUUGUUGGUGUAAUUUUAGUGGGGAAAAAAUAUUUUGGCUGCUAGAAUUUUAAAUAUACCUGCCACAGUGGCUGGUAGACCAAAAAGUACAUUUUAGGCCCUGGUUGUACCCAUCUUUUUGUGGUGCUAAUUUAGGAACUUUCAAAUUAAAUUUAGCAUACAUUAGACGUCUGUUAUUGUUAACAUGUGAUAAAUUUUGUCUCAGAAGUUUCUCCACCAAGCUCACCUGGAAGACUGUCCCCCAACAGAUGAUGUUAUGGUGAUAUUAUUGUUCUCUAAGCACAGAAAAAUAUUUUAAUUAAUUUAAAUAUUAAUUGUACCCUUGUACUUGACUUAACUAUUGCAGGAUUCCAAAUAAUCGUGCUGAUGAAGCUGGAAACAAGUUUCGAAAACCAGUUGGAACUCCUAACAAUUCAGCGACAGCUGCUAGCCGCUGGAGCACAAGAUCUGCCAGACGAAGUCCUGCCUAGACCUUGUACAACCAAGGAGGAUUUGGAGGACCUUUGCAAGAGUCUGGAGGAGGCCACCACAUAACGGAAAGAGAUGGUUGCAGGGAGGGUUGAAGAGGAGGUUGUGGAGGAGUGAGCCCUUGACUCCCCUGUACCAUAGACGGUGGUCAGACAAGACAAUUGUGUAAUCCGUGUGUGUGUGUGUGUGCCAAUCAGAUUGCAGAUGUCUGAAUUGUUAGCAAAAAUAUAUUUUAUUUUGUAAGAUUUUAUUACUUUUUUUCAAACAAUACAAAACAUGCACAUACCAACAACAGCAUACAGACGCACACAAACAUCAAUGACAUAACACCUAGCCAGACCCACCUGCUCACACCCCAUCCAUCUCCAGCGCCCGCAUCACUCUCCGCAACAUGGCCUCAAACUGUACCAUUUUGUUUUACUCUGUCACCAACGCAUUUUCAACAUUUGAGAUAAUAUAGUAUUGGACUUUUCCAUUGUGUUAGUGAUGGAGGAUUGGUUGAUUUCCAGUUAAGUGUGCAUUUCUUUUCAAGAUGAUUGAUAAAAUGUAUCAUUCAACCCAUCGGGUAUCUCACUGCUCACUCAUAUGCCAUGUCUUGAAAUAUGCAGACAGAUGGAUUAAAAUUAAUUUACAUUGUGAUACUUCUGACAGACAACUUUCUAUCUCUGCCCAUAACAUUUGGACUUCAUAGCAUCCGCAGAAGGCAUGGAUUAUUGUUAGUUUUAUGCUUAAGACAUGACUCUGCCAUUGUGCUGACAUGUGAUUUUUCUCUUUUGUAUAAUACAUUCUAUACAUUAGUUUAUACUGGAUUAAGUGUACAUUUUUGUUAUUGGUGUCCCUAUACUGGGAGGUUGAGAUAAUGUAUGAUAAUGUAGUUAGCAUGACAUUGUAAGAAAACAGCAAACUUUCCAGGACAUAGACAUGUCUUAUAUGGGCAGAAAGCGUAAAUUAUUUUCAUCAAACUGCGCUGUCCAAUUUACAGUAGCUAUUACAGUGAUAAAAUAGCAUGCUAUUGUUUGAGGAGAGUGCAACAACAACAAAACUUUUAUCACGGAACUGGUUUGAUGCAUUCCCCUCUGAAGGUAAAUAAUGUACUUAUAUUCAGUAGUCUUGCUCUGAUUUGUCAUCCUGAGGGUCACAGAGAUAAAAAUGUAGCAUAGUUUUGUUUGAUAAAAUCCAUUUUUAUAUUCAAAUGUAGGAACUGGGUUCUACAGUUUGAACCCCUGCUGUCUCUGGCUGCACACCCACCCCACCUGGCCAACUAGAUGUGUGAAAGUUAGUGUAUAGGCUAAUGGGAGUGAAUAAACUUUAGAUUUUGCAUUAUCAUAUCAUUUUUGUAUGUUCUCUAUAGUUAUGUAUUUGGAAAUGUAUCAAUUUACCAAUACGGCACAUUUGGGCAUACUUGCAAUGCUUCACUGGAUCAAUCUGAAACUUUGCAAACACACUACUGUGUGUAUAGAAAAUGCAUGUUUUUUUGUUUGUAUUAUCUUACCAGAUCUAAUGUGUUGUUCUCCUACAUUUAAUUUAACAUUUCCACAAACUUCAAAGUGUUUCCUUUCAAAUGGUAUUAAGAAUAUGCACAGUCCCCAAGAACAAAUUCAAGAAAGCCUACAGUAUUAUAUAGAGCCCUUAUUGCAUCUCAUAUUGCUCAAAUAAAGAGCAAACCUGGAUUCAAAAAGCAGAGAAAGCAACACCUCAUGGCACAACGCCUCUCCUCUAUUUGACCUAAAUAGUUUGUGUCUAUGCAUUGAUAUGUAGGCUACGUGUGCCUUUAACAUUUCUUUAUGUAGUUCAGUCCUUGUGCUGUUCUUGUCUAUUGAUGUUCUGUAUUAUGCCAUUCUGUAUUAUGUUUCAUGUUUUGUGUGGACCCCGGGAAGAGUAGCUGCUGCAUUUGCAACAGCAAAUGGGGAUCUUAAUAAAAUGCCAAAUAUCCUUGCUUCAGGUCCUGAGCUACAGGCAGUUAGAUUUGGGUAUGUCAUUUUAGGCGAAAAUUUAAAAAAUGUCCGAUCCUUCGUUAUUAAUGUUCCAACAUUCCCUCCAUCAUGUGCCAAUAUCACUUACUUUUAAGUCUUGGAGAGCUUAAAACGUUCCAUUUGAUUCUGAGUUGUAUUUGCCCAUAUGAAGUCAGUUUGUUAUGACUGAGUAUACUGUACUUUAAAGAUAAAUGUCUUCAGUGUGGUAAUUGGUUUUACUGAGAAUAAAUAUAAGAACUAAUUGUUCAUAUUUAA
Oncorhynchus nerka (sockeye salmon) is the source of this 5316-nucleotide RNA transcript. It is a transcript of the gene named carboxyl-terminal PDZ ligand of neuronal nitric oxide synthase protein-like, with no coding region annotated. The transcript has 9 exons. The record is from RefSeq and is a predicted model, not a curated record. Lineage: Eukaryota; Metazoa; Chordata; Actinopteri; Salmoniformes; Salmonidae.